CAGAGACUAUUUGAACAUGGUGGAUAUCCGGUGCCUGAGUAUCAAAGUGACGAAGAAGCAGUUAAUGGAAUGGGAAAUUUACUGAGGAAAAUUGAGGGAAGUCCAAUAUUGUUAGUCCUGGAUGAUGUUUGGCCCGGCUCAGAAGACCUAGUCGAGAAAUUUAAAUUCCAGAUAUCAGAUUAUAAAAUUUUGGUCACUUCAAGGGUUGCAUUUUCUAGAUUUGACAAAACCUUUAUCGUAAAUCCUCUUGUUCACGAAGAUUCGGUGACCCUUUUCCGUCACUACACACAGUUGGGAAAAAACAAUUCAAAAAUUCCCGACAAAGAUCUUAUCCAAAAGGUGCUUGUUCUUCUUGUACUGACACCAUUUGAGCACCAAUGUUAUAUAAUCUGCUGAUUGCUGACUAUAUUUGUGUGCUUUGAAAUACAGAUUGUGGAAAAUUGCAAAGGUUUACCUCUUGCCAUUAAAGUGAUUGCAACAUCACUCACUAAUCGUUCAUAUGACUUGUGGGAAAAGAUUGUGAAGGAACUUUCUCAAGGUCGUUCUAUACUUGAUUCUAGUACUGAAUUACUUACUCGCCUCCGAAAGGUCUUGGAUGUUUUGGAAGAUAAUGCUAUUAACAAGGAGUGCUUCAUGGACCUUGCAUUAUUCCCUGAAGACCUGAGAAUUCCCGUUUCUGCUCUCAUUGAUAUGUGGGCGGAGUUGUAUAAACUAGAUGAUGAAGGCAUAGAAGCAAUGGCCAUCAUCAACAAAUUAGACUCUAUGAAUCUGGCUAAGGUCUCAAUAGCAAGGUAUAAUAUAACGACUACCAAAUAUAUCUAACAUGAAUUAUAUGGGGCAGAAAAUUUAAUAGCUCGAAGAGCUAUUCUAAGAAGCAUUGGAUUCCUAAAUUAACGUUAUAAACAGACCAUUUGUCUUGGAUUGAAUUUAAACUUUUCACAAAUUGUAACUUUGCAAUUUGCAUUGAUAAUUUUUAAUUCCAAGGGAAGAAGUCAAUAAUUGUAAUUAAACUAUCAAAUACAGAACAAGCUUUUUUAUCUAGUGUUUAGAGUUUUCUCUUCAAGGAAUACUAACUUUUGUUUGUUUCUCAGGAAAAAUGCAAGUGACACAGAAAGUUACUACUACAAUAGCCACUUCAUAUUCCUUCAUGAUCUUCUAAGAGAGCUAGGAAAUUAUCAAAACAACCAGGAACCAAUUGAACAAAGAAAAAGACUUCUUAUUGAUGCAAAUGAAAACACACAUGACCGGUGGCUUAUGGAGAAGCAGCAGGGCACAAUGACCCGCAUAUUGUCCAAUUUUUUUAAAUUGUGUGUUAAACCGAAGCCUCAACAGGUCCCUGCUCGCACAGUGUCUAUAUCAACUGGUUAGUUAUACUUUCACCUUUCUCUAAAUGUAUUCACUAACUUGCAAGUUAAAAAUAACAUCAACUCUAAAUAUAUCCACAAUUGAUUCCAUGUGUUGCGUUUUCAGAUGAAACUUGUGCUUCUUCAGAUUGGUCCCAAGUGCAGCCAGCUCAUGUUGAGGUUCUGAUUUUAAUUCUUCAAACCGAACAGUACACACUUCCAGAAUUGAAGGAGAAAAUGAGCAAACUAAGAGCUCUUAUAGUCAUAAAUCAUGGUUUACGCCCUUCUGUACUGAACAAUUUUGAGCUAAUUAGCUCUUUAUCCAACCUGAAAAGAAUCAGGCUAGAGCGGAUUUCUGUUCCUUCCUUUGGCACAAUGAAGAAUCUCAAAAAAUUAUCCCUCUACAUGUGUAAUACAAGACUAGCUUUUGAAAAGGGUAGCAUCCUAAUUUCAGAUUUGUUUCCUAAUUUAGAAGAUUUGAGCAUUGAUUAUUCCAAGGAUAUGGUGGCAUUGCCUAAUGGGGUGUGUGACAUUGCCUCAUUAAAAAAGCUCAGUAUUACUAAUUGCCAUAAGCUUUCUUCGCUGCCCCAAGAUAUUGGAAAGUUGAUGAAUUUGGAACUCUUGAGCCUGAUCUCAUGCACUGAUUUGGUAGAGUUGCCAGAUUCUAUUGGAAGGCUUUUAAAUCUAAGACUACUUGACAUCUCCAACUGCAUAAGCCUUUCAAGUUUACCUGAGGACUUCGGCAAUCUGUGUAAUCUAAGAAAUCUAUACAUGUCUAGUUGUACAAGUUGUGAAUUGCCAUUUUCAGUUGUCAAUCUUGCGAAUUUAAAGGUGAUAUGUGAUGAAGAGACGGCUGCUUCAUGGGAAUCUUUCCAAUCUAUGAUUUCCAAUCUCACUAUAGAGGUUCCUCAAGUUGAAGUCAACUUAAAUUGGCUUCAUGCAGGUCGCUCCUAAAAUUUGCAUGCGCUCUUCCUCUGCCUUUGCUAAUCUUUGUGGCAGUGUUCUUCAAAUGAAUGAAUACUUAUCAUGGGUAAUAGAGGUGGUUGUUGGUACCUCAGAAAUGGCUCCCAACGGAGGGGCUGAGUGGAUGCUAGCUCUUAGGUACAGCUCACAUCAACCAUCCGAACUGCUUCAUCAGGUGGUGACCUCUGGCCUUUCAACACUUGGGGGCUAGACAUUCUUUGGCCUUUCCACCUGCACCAGGUUUGUUAAUUCAUCAACCAUUCUUUGGUGAAUCAUCCACAAGCAAAUAAACAGGUUGGAUCAACUAACAAAAUCAUUUUCAAUGAAUGAAGAAAAUGAUUGGAUCAAGCAAAAGCAGAAUAGACAGAGGAGCUAAUAAGAGUAUUGUAGACAAAUCACAUUACACCCCAGUCAUCAACACAUAAAACACCUUUCAAACUUGUCUACAUAUUUCAUGCAAUGGUAUCAGUAUAACUCACAUCAGCUUCAAUCUGUGCGAAUUUAAUAAAUGAGUCCGCAUCGAGAUCAAACAGGAGAAUAGAUCUUGACUUACUCUACGAAGUCAGGGAACUAGUGUACAUAACUAAGUAUGUUUCAAAACUUAGGACUGCAAAUAGGUAUAACAGCAAAGUUAAAUCUAGAAAUUUCAAGGAAGGAGAUUAGUCUUACGGAAGACCGAGAAGGUAACGAAUAAAAAACACGGAAAGCUAGCGGCUAGUUGGAAAGGACCAUAUGGAUCAGCUCCGCUCUGUGCAAAAGAGCAUACAAGCUAGAAGGCCGAGCUAGAAACAUUUAUCUGAGAUUGUGGAAUGCCACACACCUCAAACUCUAUUUAUUUAGAUUUCUUGUAAUAUGAUGUACUCUUUUUCCUGCUUGGACCUUUUUUCUCGAAAAAGUUUUUGGUUCUUGGAGGUUUUAACUAGCACAUCUUUUUUUUUCCAUUUCAUUAUCAAUAAAGUCUUUGUUCAUUAUACUAUGAUCUCCAUUAAAAGAAAACACAUAAGCCUGAUGUGUUUCCGUCAAUGAGUCAAUUCAAUAUAUAAUAUAAGCUUGAACAGGCAAAUACAGUAUUUCUUUUAUUUAUCUCAGUAUAAAUAGCCUUACAACACAUGAACUUUACAUAGAAGAUUGCAUAAAAAGGAAUAUACAUGUACAAUUACAAGUCUUAUAUCAUCUAGGUGAAGAUGCAACAUCCAACAGGACAAACCCAUAUCCUACCCCAUGUACCAUCUCAGGAGUAAAAGAUGAGGCACAGUUUCACGUCAGCAAUCUGGUAUUAAUGUAAGGGAGGAACUCCUUUACAACUAGAAAAUGUAGUAUUCAAAUUUUCUUGAAAAUCAAUCAACCAAGGAGGCUCUCUUUUGGUAAACCAUAUUGUUCUCACAAAUCAGGGCAUAAAUGUUCACUGUUGGUCAAUAUAUUGGUUCUUAAACUCACCAUCAACGAGUGAUAAAAACAGUAUGUUUGACCAAUAACGAACAACCUCAGCCGAAUUUAAUAUACACGUCUCAAACUUUUGAAGAAUUAAAAUUUGGAGAAUGUUUCAAAGCUAGCGAGGGAAACAGAAAAUUGAUUCAUAGCAAAGGAAACAACUAUUUUAUAAGCCAAAACCAAAACAUAAAAGUUAAUGAAAAACAGUGUCUUCUUAAGGUUCUCGACCUUGUCCUUCAAAAACAACUUACUCGACUUUAACCUUUUCAUCUCGUAUUCCAAUAUUUUGAUCUCCCAUGUCAGACCUUCAAAUUUGACACCAACAUCUUCAAACACUUUUUCAACUUCCUUCCUUGACUUCUUCUCAUCCUCCAAAAGUUUUUCAAUUUCUUACUUGUCUUACAAGCAACAAUCAUUUUUCUUUUCGGCCAGCUUGUGCAACCUUUUUUGAAGGUUAUCUUUGCCAUUCCUCGCCAUGUCUAACCUAUACUCUCUCGCAUAGAUAUUUUAUUGUUAUUGUUGGGCAGCACAUAGAGCACGAAGGAGGUAAGAUGUGGAAACCACACACAGACAUUUUUUAGCCGAAAACUUUGUACAGUAUGUUGAUAAGACGCGACAGGGUGAUCUGCAACAGGACAGUUGAGUAAACCCCAUGUUACUGGCAGCUGCAAGCAUGACAUUCUUUGAAGAACACGACCAAUUGUUACCGGCAUUUGUUACCGAGGGGAAUUAUUUGGAAGCGGUUCCUCUAACGUUUUUGUGGGAACUCACAUUUGAGGGACAUAAUUUCUCCCUCUAUAUCAAUCAUUUAGAAAAUGAAUCCCAUUGAGAAAACACAGCCAACCUCAGCUGAAUUUAGCUUCCAUCAACAGCGGGUUAAUUAUGGACCAAAUUUAAAUGAGACGGGUCAACCUGCAUUGCCAUCUGUAUUUGAAAUUAGGGGUGUUCGUGGUGCAAUUUCAAUCGGUUUUGAGACAAAAACUCAUCUGAUCCAAAGUUAAAUUACCUGCGGUUCAGUUUUUGACGACUCGUUUAAAAAAUUGGAUCUGAAUUGAUCCAAUUUAAUGCAUAUUAUUUUGGAUUGGUUCUUGAAUAUGCAAAUUACAAAUUGUAAAUAAUAAGUUUGAUGCAAAAUAUAACACAUAAUAUGUUGAUGAAAAUUUUCGAUUAUAUUUCAAACAUAGAAAAUAGUAAAAAGUAUAAUAAAUUAAAUUGGGAUAUAGGUGGAAGAUUGGAGAUGGCUCCCAGAUCAAAGUUUGGUCCACAUCAUGGAUUCAUUCACUUUCUACUCUUCGACCCUCAACAACGCCACCUCCACAUCUGGAACAUUUAUUGGUUCGUGAUUUAAUAAAUCCUGAUUUGCAUACUUGGAAUAGUUCGCUCAUUAGUAACAUCUUUUCCAUCUCAGAAGCUUCGGUCAUUUGCAGACUGCCACUCCAUACGUGUAACCUGCAUGAUACUCGAGUUUGGCAAAUCGGCUUAUAACUUAUGCAUGUCUCUGAAAACUGACGCUAAUGUUUCCCCCACUGCAGCUGCGCAUAAUUGGAACAUUAUUUGGAUACAACAUGUGCCUCCUAGAGUAUGUUCCCUGUUAUGGAGAAUGGCUCAUUGUUGCCUUCCAACCCGCACUCGCUUGAUCCAGAAAGGUUUAUCUAUUGACGAUACUUGUGUUCAUUGCGAUGUCCUGGAUGAAUCCCACAUCUAGUCAUUCUUUGUGUGCCCAAAAGCAAUCAAUUGUUUGAACAAGUCCAAUUGGAUGGUAUUGUGCGAGAGUUACCACGUGAUGCUAUUGAUUUCAGAUCUCUUCUUUUUUAUUUCUUUAGCAGGUUACAAACACAUACCCAGGCAACAACAUCUAUUAUUCUAUGGAGUUUGUGGAAAAAUAGAAACUCUAAAUUAUGGCAAGCAGGGACACACCCUCCUCAUCAUUGAUCGUUCAGCGAGCGCAUAAUUCCCUUCAUGAAUGACCCUGUUUACAAAGAGCAAGACAAUCUAACCAAAAUAUUUCAGUUUAAAAUACAAUGUAGAUUGUGCCCUCUUCAACAACAAUACCAUCACAUGGCUCGUCAUCUGCUAUCGAGACUCUUCAGGGGCAUUACAUUAUGGAUCAUCUAACUACUCUUUAUAUACUUCUUCCCCUUCAGAAGCCGAGGCUCUAAGCCUUAACCUUCGCUGACAAUCAAGGCAUUGAGUCUGUCAUAUUUGAGUCUGAUUGUAAGCUAGUUCUUUUAUUCUAUUUGGCAAGUAUUUGGAAGUGUUGGCUAAAGGGAAAACAUCACAAGCUAUUGCGAAACUCAUGGAUUUAACACCUGAUACAGCAACCUUACUAACUCUUGAUGAUGAUAAGGGAAAUGUUAUAGGUGAAAGAGAAAUUGAUAGCAGGUUGAUACAGAAGAAUGAUGUGAUCAAAGUUGUGCCGGGCGCGAAAGUAGCAUCAGAUGGUUUUGUUGUUUGGGGACAAAGUCAUGUAAAUGAGAGUAUGAUAACUGGUGAGGCAAAGCCUGUUGCUAAGAUGAAGGGUGAUAUGGUGAUUGGUGGUACUGUGAAUGAAAAUGGUGUUUUGCAUGUUAAGGUAGCAAGGGUUGGAUCAGAAACUGCACUUUCCCAGAUUGUUAGACUUGUUGAGUCUGCUCAGAUGGCUAAAGCUCCUGUCCAGAAAUAUGCUGACCAGAUUUCUAAAUACUUUGUUCCUAUAGUAAGUGUAAAUUACUAAUACUAACUAGCUCCGUGAUUUUUACGAAAACUAAACUACUGAGCUUCAACAAAAUCACGGUGUCAAUACAAUUUUGUCAAAUUCACCGUGAUUUCAAACAUGUAUUAUGUGUUUAAACAUUUAAGUCAAAUAAUAGAAUUGUAUUUUACAUAUACUUACUGGUGCCUGUUUUUGUAGGUGAUUGUGUUAUCUCUUUCAACAUGGAUAUCAUGGUUUGUAGCUGGAAAAUUGCAUUCAUACCCAAAAUCAUGGAUACCAUCUUCUAUGAAUAAUUUCGAGCUUGCACUUCAGUUUGGAAUUUCAGUCAUGGUCAUAGCUUGUCCUUGUGCUCUAGGCCUCUACUCCUACAGCGGUCAUGGUUGGUACUGGAGUUGGUGCAACUCAAGGUGUGUUGAUCAAAGGUGGCCAAGCAUUAGAAAGUGCACACAAGGUGAAGGCAAUUGUUCAAAACAAGGAAAUAAUGGUUGGAAAUAAAAAACUGAUGUUAGAUCAUAACAUAGCUAUUUCAGUGGAAGCUGAAGAAAUACUAGCAGAAGCUGAAAACAUGGCUCAAACAGGAAUUUUGGUAUCAUUGGAUGGAGAAAUUGUUGGAGUUUUGGCUGUGUCUGAUCCACUGAAACCUGAUGCAAAAGAAGUUAUUUCUAUUCUUAAAUCCAUGAAAAUAAAGAGCAUAAUGGUGACAGGUGAUAAUUGGGGAACUGCAAAUUCUAUAGCUAGACAAGCUGGUAUUGAAACUGUCAUGGCAGAGGCUCAACCUGAAACUAAAGCUAUUAAAGUAAAAGAAUUGCAGGUACACACAAAAUUAUGGUCCCCAAUUACCAAAUUAUUGCUUCACUCCUUUAGGGUUUCCUCUCAUGGUUUUAAUACUUUGUUCAUUGUAGGACAUUUAUUCAAUUAUUAUAGUGUUUAUUGGUUUUAAUCUCUAAAAAAUUUUAUUUGGAUUGAGUCCGUGCAAAUUCAAUAACUGCUGUUUUUUAGUCUUUAACGUCAGCUUAUUGGGUCACAUAUGACGUCAGAGACUAAAACCAAUCGUGUUUAAUUUGUAAGGAUUGAAUCUGAACAAAAUAUUUAGCGGGACUAACCAAGUAAUUUGACUCAAAUAGUCAAUAAGCUCCUCUAGGACGAAUCAUUCAGGAAAACUCGAAUUUGAUUUUUGCUGGCAACAAUUUUUGGUCAGACUUUAUUUAUCCGAGUUCAAAAUAAUUUGCAAUAAUUGCAAAAACUAAAAUCAUAUUUAACCUUCAUUUUUUUUAUAUAUUAAAAUUGAACAAAAUUUACUUAGACUUCAAAUAAUUAAAAUUUGUAGGGACCAAAAAUAUAUUAACCCUAUAUAAUCUUUAGACAAUCAUGUGAUAGUUAUUUGACAUACUUGGUGGCAGAAUUCUGGAUACACAGUAGGAAUGGUAGGAGAUGGUAUAAAUGAUUCACCAGCACUAGUAGCAGCUGAUGUUGGAAUGGCAAUUGGUGCUGGAACAGACAUUGCUAUUGAAGCAGCUGACAUUGUUCUUAUGAAGAGUAACUUAGAGGAUAUAAUAAUUGCCAUUGACCUUGCAAAGAAAACUUUCUCACGUAUACGUCUAAAUUAUAUUUGGGCUUUAGGUUAUAAUAUUCUAGCCAUUCCUAUUGCUGCUGGCAUACUUUUUCCUUCUACUAAAUUUAGGUUACCACCUUGGAUUGCUGGAGCUGCAAUGGCUGCUUCUUCUAUCAGUGUUGUUUGCUCUUCUCUCUUGUUGAAGAAAUACAAGAAACCAACCAAGCUUAACAACUUGGAGAUGAAUGGUAUUCAGAUUGAAUAAUCAACUUGUCAAUUGUAUAUUUGUAACUAUAAUAACUAGGCUUGUUUAUUGGGAGCAACAUUUUGUUAUGUUGCAAUUGUAAUUUCAAUGUAAAUUAAAAAGUAAGUAAUUAUUUUUCUUAAAAAAAGUAAUUAGCUUUAGUAAAAAUAGAUGUUUUAUAUGUACAAACUAUAUUAAGGAACAAUUAUUUUUAAUCUGGAAGAAUGUUGAAAUUAUGAUUAUAGGCAUUUUAUAAUAAGGUGUUCAAAUUCAGUACAUGUUGGAACAUCAAUGAAAAUAUGAGAACUAGCUAGAGAUGUGGGCCACAUCUAGCUAUCCUUGAUGGAGCGUGAGCUACCGAUCAUUUGUUUCUCUUAAUAAACUCAACACGAGUUUUCCAAAUGAAAAAAGAAAAAACGUCCACACUACCUAUUAAUGUCUCCGAAUUCUUUGACGUCAAUCUUAUCACUAUUAAAAAGAUCAAUUGAUCUUUUAGUGUAGUGUAAUCCACUUGACCACUUGUCCCAGAUGCAAGUCAUGAACUCAAGUGAGCGGAUGAAGAUGGCCCAAGGCUUCCCCUAUUUGGUGAAAUCCGAAUUGUUUUGGCGAUUUUGAUGUGAACAGAAUGGUCCGCCAGAGUUGCAUUUGUAGCGCCCGGUCGCUGGUUUCAUCCAAUUUGUAUCAGAAUGUCUGGUGUAACAGCUCCACCCAAAUAUGCAGUGUAUUCUCCCUGCUCCAAUUUUCAGUCAAGUAUUUGACCAUGUCCAUAAUUUGCAAACUAGCUUCAAAGACAUUAUUCCUCAAUUUUCGCUCCUUUAAAAUAGUCCCAAAUCAGUCUGAAAAAUUCAGACGAAAACUUAAUCGUCCGAAAACACAGUUUUUUUUAGUAGCGUCGUUUUAGUUUUGUUAGCUUUCUAGCUUAUUGAACUUAUGAUUUUUUUACAUUGAAACUUUAAAAAGUAAUUAUUUUUUACAUAAAACUUAUCUAUUAUUAAAGAUAUUAAUGGUCAAAAUUGUACAUUGACAUAUGUGAAGUGGACUUGAACAUGUAUUUUGAAACGAGAGUAUAUUUUAAGGUUACAAGACUAAGAUUUUAAUGUUAAGUCAUGUAAUAUUGAUGAUAUUCAUUAACUACAACUUGUGCUCAAAUAUAUCUAAAAAGAGGUGGUCAAUAAUGUCGAAAAUUAACCAUGGUUAAUGAGUUGAGGGAUGGUUAUCAACUAAGAAUAACUAACCACAUAUUUAAAUUGUAUUAACAAUCUAUAAUCUAAUUUUGAUGUGGAAUUUAUGUUUCCAAAGACCAUUUUUCUUUUCUAAGAACAAUAAGAAAUACGCGGUUAACUUUUGCUAACACCACUGAUAUAUAGCACCUUGAUGUGAUUAUGUGUCAACACGACAUUGAAACGAAAAAGCAAAGAAAGUAACAUAGAGAGGAAAUUACAAGGAAACUUCGUGAUAAAAUAUCUAUAUAAACCUUCAUUGAUUUCCUCUUUCUUCAACAAAAAAUUUCAAUUUCAUUUUCAUCAACAAUAACAACAAUGAUAGGCAUUAGGCAAGACAGAAGUACAACACCUGGUUGUCGUUUCAAAGGUAUAAUAUGCUAAACUUUCACUUUUAAAUCCUCGUUGUUUUUUCUUCAUUUUAUAACUUGUUCUUUGUUCGAUUUGAAUGUAAAAAAGGAAGGAAAAAUAAUUAAACAGGUUAGGUUGGUCCAUGCAAAGUGUUCGACAACACAUGAUUCAGCAUCUUAGCGUUCAAUGCGGGAAAAGAUAUUAACAACUAGCAAUAUAUGAACUUUGAGAGCCUAAAAUCAAAAUCAUUGACUAAACUCUAUGACUAUUCUUAGGGUAUGUUUGGAUUGAGGGUUUAGGAAGGGAAGGGAGAGUUUACUUUUCUUUUUUAAAUUCCGGACUAUAUAACAUAUUUUUUUAAAAUAAAUUUAGUAUGAUUGAAGUAUGAUAUGAUUGUUUAUCAUGAUAAUAUGUUAACUUUUUAAAAAAAAAAAAACAUUUUUAUUGUGUUCGUAAUCACAUAUAUAUAAGUUUUUAUUGUUCUACUCUAUUUUUAAAACUUCACCAAUCUUCACUUCGAAACAAAAAAGUUGAAAGAUGAUUAAUAUAUGUGGACUAAAUUUUUAAAUAUAAAUAUUGAGUUUUCAAAUACUAUUUUUGUUUAUAUCUCAUUCGGGAGGGAAUAAAUUGUUAUCAUAAUUACAAAAUACAGAUGUUUAACCUUAGGAUUGAGAGUGAAAACCCAUUUAAUUUUAAAGUCUUUUUUUGGACAAUUUGUGACCCUCUAACUUGAUUCCUAAAACAUUGUCGAUUCCAAUUUUAUGAAGGCAACUUCUUUUUUUUUUGUCAGAUUUUAUGAAGGCAACUUAAUCACUUGCUAUAUUAAUAUAUGUCAUAUUCUUAAUUUGACAUCUUGGGACAUUGCAAAUCUUAUGUCAACUACAAUUUAUUUUAGAAUUAAUAUUAAAACAUAUCUACAAUGCUUUCGAACAUUAGAAGAGAAUGUGAAAUGGUACAAGAUGUUUGGAAGCAUUGUAGAUAUCUUUUUUUUUUUUUUAUAAAAGAGGGUAAAAGUCCAUUGUAAAUAUCUUGUUUUAAUUUCUAUCGAAAUGACUUUUUAAAAAGAUUGUUUUUUGAAGAAAUUGGUGAUGAUUUGGCGACAAAAAUGCAAAGAGAAAAAUACUAAAAUGUCUAAUGAAUUUUCUUUUUUUGAGAGAGCCCUAAUGAAUUUUCUUGUUCUUUGUCUGCACAGGGGAACUAAAAUUUUGGGGAUGGUGCGGCUAUGAAGUAUGAUUUAUGAAUCACAUUAUUUAAAAAUAUUAAAAUUAAAAUCAUGAUGAAUGCUAAAAACCUAAAAAAAAAAAAAAAAAAAAAAAAAAAAAACAAGAAAAACCAUCAUUAAUUAAAUGGUAUAGAUGAAUGGAUGGAUAGACACACCAAUUUUUUUUUGAAAAAGCUAAGUGAAUAUAUUAAACAACUAAGAGAAACCCUUCUAGCACAAGAUGUAUUAGAGGAAACUUAAAAAUUUAAAACCUACAAGAAUUACAAAAUAGGUUGUAAGCACAAUAAAACAACGUUCAACCGAGUAAUCAAAUGUAAUAUGAUUUUAACAAAGGCUUGCCAAUUGUUAACAUUUUCAAAUGUUGCCAUAUAAUAUAGUAAUCUUAUAUUCAACUGGUGAACAAAUUCUAUUUAUAAUCAACUAAUAUGAAAAAAUUCAGUCCAUCCACCAUAUGCUUAAUAAAAGGCUUAAUUUUAUUUUGGUCCCAAUAUUUUCACUAAUCACAAUUUUUUUUUUUCUAUUUUAAAAUCAUUCAGCUUUGGUGCCUCCAUCCAAAUUUUGUUGUAGCAAAAUAGUGAUUUGAUAUCUUUUGAAUAACGUAACAUACGACCCGAUUAUGUGAAGUGAUCAACAAUCAUAUAAUUAUAAGAAAAAUUAUUUUAGUUUCAAAUUAUGUUUCACAAAAAAAUACAAAAAUCUAAUGAAGGAAUCAAAACUGAAUGAUUUUAAAAUAUGGGAUAAAUUCCAUAAAUAAUUGAAAAUCGGUGGAUCAAAUAAUUAAAUCUUAAUAAAAAUAAUCUAAUCCAUAUCCAUAUAUAUUAAAAGUUAUUGAUAUAUGGAUAACCAAUCUACCCCUAAAAUUAUAUUUUGAAUCAAUUAGAAAUAUUAAACAAAAAGGAAGACUAGUUACAACAUAUUUUUGAAAAAAUUAAGCUUCAAUGAAUGGUUGAAAGUGAAUCACAUUAAUUUUACUUUCGAGUGUUGCAUGUCACCACUAAACAUUAUCAAAUGCUCCUUGAUUAAUUAUGGUGGUUUCCUUCACACACUAAAAUUUCGGGAUUAGGAGUCACUUUGAGAAAGUCACUACCAUCUUCUGAAAACCUCCCAGUUUGUGAUUUUUCAAGAUUUUGUAAUCUGAUAUCUGGAAUUAAAAUUUUAAAUUGAUGAAGAUGUGAACAGUUAAUAGAUCAUGGGGACUUUGCGGAGGAAAACUAAGGGACAACAAUGAUUAUUGAGAAGCCGCCAAUAGAAAUUUCAACUCCAGAUAUCAUAUUAUAAAAUUUUGGUGACUUCAGAGGUUAGUAAGAUGCAGUAAUCUUCAAAGGUUAAGUAUAUGCUCAGUUGAAAAUGAAAACAGUUCAAAUAUUCCUAACUUGACAAAGAUUUUGUCCAAAAGCUCCGUGCUCUUUUCUUCUGACUUCUUGUAGUAAACAUCGAAAGAUUGCAGGACCAUUAAGAAUUCAUUGUUUUCCUUGAUCACUUUUCAUUAAAUUCACGUAAAAUGAGUUUUGUAUAAUGUAUUUGAAGUUUUGAUGAUAACAAAAUACUCCCUCCAUCCCGAAUUAGCUGAGCCAUUUUUUCUUUUCACACAUAUUAAGACAAAUGUAUAAAUGAAGGAGAGAGAAUAGUGGUUUUAAGUGAUCUUCACUAUCAUAUAUAAAUGCAAAGUGGAAUAUAUUGAAUUGAAAGUUGUGAAAGUAGUAUUAAUUAGAGUUAUAAAAGGAAAAAAGUAAUUAAUAUUGUAUUGAGUUAUAAAGAAUAAUUGGAUGGAUAUGUUAAUGUAUGUUUAAAUGUGUAGGAUUGUAGACUAAAAUUUUAAGUAUUAAAAUCAAGUUUGAUUCUGGAAGAACAUAUACGAGAGCAUUUGAAUAUUGAGGAAAACUGAAGUUCUCGACCAGACUCUAAAGACUCAAGUCUCUAAAGGAUAUCAGACUCUGAAGGUCAGAAGUAUCUGGAAAUUACCUGACUCUGAAGAAUGAAGACUCUAAAGAACACGUCAAACUUAUCGUCUUCUGAAGAUGUCACUAUCAGACUGAGACGGUACAUUUUUUUUUCUUCUGACCACGUGCAGGAACAAACAAAGAACUUCAAAGACAAAUGAAAUGAAAUGGAUAAUUCAUUUUGAAGCAAAGAAAUUUCAAAUAUCUUUUCAACGACAUUAACCAAAUCAAGAAACAUUCUAAUGUCUAUGAUCAAGCUUCUCAAAGACCCUAAAACACGUGAUGGCACCUCUCCAACGCCUCCAAUAUCCUUCACUAUAUAAGGAGUCGAAGACUUAAAUAAAUUAACAAGACUGCUAAAAGUGCCCUUACUAUGUCAAAAUUAAUAGCGCAUUUGAACUUAGAAUUUCUUACAAAUUUUAAAUCUAAGAAAUUCGUAAGUCUUAAGAGUUUUAAUCUGUUUUGUAUUUGUUUACCUCUCUGAUUGUAUAUUAAGUGUAAAAUCAAACAAUCUUUUAUUUGAUUAAGUUGGAUUUUGCGAGAAGUCUUUUUUCAGUUGUGAUUGAGCAUUAAAGUCUCUUGCUUGUGUGCUUAAGCAUUUGUAAUUUUUAGUGAUUAUAGUGAAAAUCCCUUGGAAAUGCAAGGAGACUAGAUUACUCUCGGUUUAUGACAUGAACUAGUACAAAUUGCUCUCUCUCUCUCUCUCUCUCUCUCUCUCUCUCUCUCUCUCUCUCUCUCUCUCUCUCUCUCUCUCUCUCUCUCUCUCUCUCUCUCUCUCUCUCUCUCUCUCUCUCUCUGUGUGUGUGUGUGUGUGUGUGUGUGUCUGUUUUGGUCUUAUAACCUCUGCAUUCAGAACUCUACAUCAGACUUUAAACACUACAUUCAGACUCUGAUUAGUAAGAACACUUAGAAAAGGUAAACACAAUUCAACUCUACAUCAGACUUUAAACACUACAUUCAGCUUCUCAAACUCAUACUCGGUGAUUGAGGCAAGGUCACUAGUCCAAUAUAUAGAAAACUUACGCUCACCUUCAAAUACUAGCGUAGCUUCAAGACAAUCCCCCCAUCUCCCUCUCUUGAACUCAAAAGUAUUUCUCCUUACAGUUCUUAUAGUUUGAUAUAUAAGUUGGAAAUUGGCUCCUAUUGAGAUGGGUGCUGGUAGAGACCUAUAAUCUUUUAUCAAGGCCCUUGUUUCAUAUAAGGAAAAAAGCAUGCCCAUUGAGGGCUGAAACCAAUGUUUUAAAAAUCGAACCGGACCGAUUCAACCAGUUGACCCGGGAACUGGACCAAACACCGGUCCGGACAACACUUUAAAACCAGAAGUCUAUAGAACUAGAAAGGAACCAAGAAAACCGAUAUAAACUGGGAAAAAUGGAAAAACCGAUGAGUUGGUUUUGGUGAACCGUCCAGAUUCACUUUUCUUCUAAAUUUCUUUUCCAUAAAAAAUUCUUCUUUCCCUUUUGAUUUGUGGAUAUUGAAAUUUUAAGAGUUUCUAAUUUUUUUUGUAUGAUAAGACUUUUAUUUUUGUGUACCUAUAUGCUAGAUGUUGAAGAAUCUGGAUCUGCUUGUUUAUUUUUGAAGGAGUUCUUGGUGUUGCACUAACAAAAAUAAUUGGGUUGUAUAAUAUUAUAAAUAAGAAAAAAGAAGAAACAUCAUCACAUAAAGCAUAAGAAUAAGAAAUAAUAAGAAUAUGUGCUAUGAAAGAAGAAGAAUAAUGGAAAACAGCAUCCUAUGUGUGUAAUGCAUCGUGUGAAAAAAAGAUGUCAUUUAGGGUUACAAAAGGAUUGUUGAAUACAAUUAUAUUGGCUAUAAAAGAUUAAUUCAAUUGGGCUAUAAAAGAUUGGUGAAAAAAAGUAUUUUGGAUCUAUAAAGUGUUGGAACAAAAUAAUAUGGACUGUAAUCUAUAAUAAAAAAUUAAAUUUAUUUAUCAAUUAUUAAUAAUCUGGUUUAAUAACGGUUUAACCGGUUGAACCGGUUGAACCUUGACCCGAACAUCACAACGGUUUAACCUCUGGUCCAAUUUUAUAAACAUUGGCGAAACCCCAAGCUUUCGCACGAGAUCUCGAAACCGCACAUGAACGCACAACAGUUUGGAUGAAGUUGUGAUGAAGCGACGUUAAGAGCCUUAAGGAAAUCACACUCAAAGUUAGUAAAAGGAAACUUAAACCCUAUAUCCUCAAAAACAAACGAAUACAUAUGAAGCAUCUCCAUCUUCACUCCCUAAGGACAUUGGAGGCACACCUUCUCGCCAAGCCUACAAGGUUCCACAAUAAUAUCUGCCUCCCAAAUAGUAUACGAGAUAUCCACUUUACUCCUAAAAAAUGACACCCUCUUGUUGGUUACGAAAAGAGAGUCCAAGCAGACAACAACCACAGCAAAGACAUGGGAUAACAAAUUUCCCUCUUACCUACUCCUGGGGAACGAGAAAUUAAACCACAAUCAAUAUCCUAGCUAGAACUAUCAUCAUUACUGUCAGAAUCACUCGAAAUCUCUCCCAAUAGUAAAUGUCUAUAAUAACCCAUUUCGAAGACAACCUGUUUGUAACUCCAAUCCAGAUGUUUUGUAAUUUUGAUACAAGAAUUUCACAGUUUACUCUUCUUCUCAAAUGUAUCGGGAUUGACAACCCUUCCAGACUCAUCCCCCCCCCCCCCCCCCCCCCCAAAGAAAUUUCUUAACAGAGAAGGUUAAGACACUUGAAGAUAUGAAAAAAGGGUAAAAAGCCAAAAAGCAUAAAGAAACGAAAGAACAAUGGGAAAUGGAGGAGAAUCUCUCUUAUAAGGACAUAAAAACAACAAUAAAGCUACCUCGGGUCACCAAAUGACUAUAAGUAGUGAUUGGGACAAGUGUCAAAGAGAGGUAAUGUCUACGAAGGUAAAGGUGCACAACUAAAAAAAUGAACCCUCAUAGAUUGUGAGUCAUCAGAUCAAUCUUGCAUACCACACCAAAACCUCAAGGGGGGCAUAUCACACUCAGCCACUUUACCCUUACAAAGGACUCGUGCUUGGGGGGUUGUGGAUCCUCAUAUCUCAUUCAACCACUUUGCUCUUAACUGGGACUCGUACUUCUCUAAGUCAUGUUUUUAGUUCUGAUACAUCAAGCUUUGAGCACAAAGGAAAGCAUUUUGAUACUCAAGAGAAACACUGGAACUUUUGAAUAUAAGAUAACAUGAAGAAAGGUUAACAAAAUAGUCAAAGCUAUAAUCAGAAAAUGCAUCAAACCUUGAAGGCUCUGAUGAGAACAAGCUCUAAUGGACUCAUACUCUGAAGAAAGCAAGUUAUGAAAGACAUGUCGGCAGAUUGGGUGACUCUAACCUGUUUUGUCUUCUUCUGAAGGAACGUCGCUUUCAAAGUUUUGAUAGGUCUAUUUGUUUUCUUCUGACCACAUGCAGAAACAAAUAAAGAAAUUCAAUGAUAUAUAGAAUGUAAGAGAUCAAUCGUUAAUAAGCAACUGAUUUCUCUAGUACUACUCCAUGACAUUAUCCAAUUAGAGGCAAAGUUUUCAAAAUUGAUUUAAAGUUUCUCAAGGACAAUUUUGAUGCGUUGCACCAAAUGAUUUCUCAUUUCUCUCUUAUAUAAGGACCUAAGCAGUUUGAAGAAAUUAAGAGAUGAAAAUAUUUCACAAGUGUCAAAACUCUGUCGAAUUCAAAAGCGUUCAAUCACUUAAUUCUUACAAACUUUACAUCUUAGAAUUGCUUAGUGUAACAAGUUACUUGAACCUCAAGUUUUGUUUGCCACUCUCUUAGUAAAAAGUGUAAACAGAAUCUCAUUUAUUUGUUAAACUUUGAUGGUAUAAGUCCUCUUGUGUGAGGUAAUAAAGUCUCAACUUGCGUGUUUGAUAAAUUAUAAUCUUGUGUGAUUAUAGUGAAAAAUCAUUUGGAAGUGCAAGAGGACUGGACUAACCUCGGAUUAUUGAGUGAACUAGGAUAAUUGCUUGUGUUGUUUCUCUUCUCUCACCCAAUGACCAUCUGUUUGUUUUGUUUAAACACUUAAAAAGAUUUUCAAAAAAAGCCAACAUAAUCUCCCCUGCGUUUUUCUCACCUUCUAGGAUAAGAACAAGUGCCUAAAGUAAGAGCACAACCAAAGGUGCAAGUGGCUGCCCUUAUCUCGUAAACCAAAGUCGAACUGCUAAAUCCAUGGCCUUCAAGCGAGACAUAAGGUUACACAUAAGCUUGACGUGCCCGUCACUAUAGGAACGAACCGGCAAAAAGCUCAAUGAUAGACUCUUAUGUUGUUACAAACCAAAGGGGACCUAGAAACACUAUAUACAGAACCUCUGAGAUCAUUCCCGACCCAUGACUUAAUGGGUAGCAUUUAGGUGACAUAGCUUUUGGUGACAUUGUCCUUAUCUCUAUUAAUUAAUUAUUCUAAAAUGCAUUAAUGUCAUCAAAAAACUAUGUCAUCCAAGUGAAAUCCUGAUUACAAAAACCUAAGAGUUUCGUCUUAUUCACAGACUUAGUUUUAUAUUGUAUUAUCACUACAACUAUGAAUAAAAUGAACUAGUUGGGUGUUUGUAUAAUAAUGAUAAUGAUAAUAAUAAUAAUAAUAAUAAGAAUGGAUUUUUUUAAAUGCAAUAACAAUAAGGGACCGUGGGUCAUAAGUUAACACGGUUUCCUCCAACAACAAAAAAAAAUUAUGCUCACACGGUAACAACGCGGAUGAAACUAAGGAACAAGCUUUAAAUCAACAAAACAAAAACAAAAAAGAAGCAAGGAAGAUGCAAAGAAACUUACAUGGAAUGGAAAUAGCAAGGAAUGUUCGUGAAAAAAUCUAUAUAAGCAUGUUUUGUGUCCUCUCCACUCAUGAUUCAACAAAAAAAUUUCAUUUCUACUUUCACAAACAAUAACAUAGAUAGGCCAGACAGAGAAGUAUAAAAUCUUUGACACCACUGCUUGUCAUUCAAAAUUAAAGGUAUAUAUUUCCCCUUUCAAUUUAGAUCCUGUUGGUUUCUCCUUUAAUAGCAUGUUCUUUGUUCGAUUAAAUUAUAAGAAGGAAAGAAGGAAGGUACAAAUUUCAUUGUUCUCUUUUUUGUUUCAUAUUUAAUUUGGUUUCAGAUCUAGCAAUUAAAUUAAAUAAAUGGUUGGAGUAACACUAGAAAUCUGGUUUGACAGCAUGCAUUUUGUUGACCACGCUAUAUGGACAAACUUACCUUAUCUUAUCUUAUCUUAUUUUAUUUUAUUUGUUUAUUUGUACUGUUUUAUUUUUCCUUUUUUAAAAGUAAAUUCUUAUGUACCCUAAAACUUGAUUGAAUUUUUGUAUUUUGUAUGUAAAGUUUAUUUAAGUUUGAUUUUAAUUUUAAAUAAAUUAAUAUAAAAUAUGAUGUGACAUUGAUUUAUUGUGUGGUCAUUCUUUUAUUUUUGAGGUAAGUUUUUAUGUGGUUGUUUCGAACAAAGAACAUGCUAUUAAAGGAGAACAUGCUAAUAUUUCUCUUUAAUUUUUUUACUAAAUAAAUUCUCCUAUUCUUAUCCAUAACAAAAAAACAACAGAUCACUCCUAUUAUUUCCUUUUAUUAAAAAACAAAACAAACCUAUUUUUUUAUUAAAAACAAAAGAAAAUCAUCCCCUUUAUAUGAAAAACAAAACAAACCUAUUUUUUAUUAAAAACAAAACAAAAUCGACCCCUAUUUUUUUAUGAAACCUAAACUAAACUAAUUACCCUAUUUUUUUAUGAAAAAUAAAAUAAAUUAAUUUUGUUAAGUCUGCAACAACUUAAUCUAAUUUUUUUUCCUCCCUGAUCCUUUGUUAGGUUUGCAACAACUCAAUCCUAAAAGUUUGGCUCUAAAUUUGUAUCAUAUAUGUUUUUCAUUUCUCUCUCUAAUAACCGUUAAUAUUUUUCAAAGCAAAAAUAGAUAUCUUAAUCCUUAUUAUUUAUUAAGGAAAUCCUUAUUUUAACUAUAAAAGUAAUAAAUAAAAUUAACUCGUAAAACAAUAUAAUUUUAUAUUCUUUUUAUCUUUUUUCUUUAUCAUUUGAUUGUAUUAUUGUAUAUCUAAUAAUUUAAUUUGCGUUUAUUGAUCGAUCCGUGAUCUUACGGGUUAAAGAUUAUUUAUUGAUCUCUAUUAUAGUCGAGAAGACCCGUGCGUCGUACGGAUCAAAAGUCUAAUUUAUGAUUAUUUCUUUUCGUGCGGAGUUGGUAGCAUGAAUUUCAGAAUUUGAACCCGGUGAUGAUAUUCUAUCUUGCUAUCCUGAUUUCUUUUGUUCUUUCUUCUCCUUUUCUUUUUCUUUAGAUUAUUAAUGAUAUUCUACUUCUAAAUUUUAUAAAUUAGUUCAUAGGUCAUAAAUAAUGUUUGAUAAUUACUGGUUGAACCUGUGGAUAAGUUGACUAAGAGCAGAAAAGUUAGCAGAUUUAAGUUACAAUGUUUGAUAAAAUUAACGAUUGAAUUAGUUGAUAAAUAUAAAAUGUUAUAGAAAAAUAUUUUUAAUUAAUGUUUAGUGUUUUCCAUUAAGAUAAUAGCUACUUAUAUAAAAUAGCUUAUAAAAAACGUAAUAAAAAUUCUUAUAACUCUUGUGUAAAAAUUGUUACUAAAUAGGUCUAAUUUGACCAUAUGAACUCAUAAUAUAAACUUGAAAAUUGACUUGACCAAACCACAAUAUAAUUUUGCAUCCCUUGGUCAGGGGUUCUGGCUACACCACUAGUUGUUGUUCAAAGAUUUGAAGUACAAUAUCUGGUUUCAGUAGUUCCUCUACUUCUUCUUUUUUGUCAUUAUGCUAUAUAUUUAUAUUUUAAUUUAUUUGUUUCUUAACAUGAUGUAUAUAUGAAUUAUGAAAUGUUGACAUCAUAUUUCUGCUGCCACUUAGGAAAAACAAAACAAUAACCAUGCUCACUCUUGCAAGCCUUGGUUGGUACUUGGUAGAACAAGGCAUUCCACAGGGUAACCCAGAGGCAUUGCUAGUGUGGUCUACAUUUGAUUCAGAGUGAGGAUUUAAACUAUAAAUACUCUGUUACUUAUCUAUCCACAAAUUGUUUAUUGUUUAUUGAUAUUUUGUCAUUUUUAAAGUUCAAUGUAACACUAAUAUUAUUUUAUUAAUAACGUUCUUAAUUAUUUAUUGUACAUAGAAUGUGAGCUGAUAAAUAAUAAAAAAAAAAAAAACUUUACAUUACAGAAAAAUGACAAACAAUUUUAUCAAAAAUAAUAAAAUUUAGGUUUAAGUAUGCAAAUGUUUAUUUUUGUCUAUGUAAAAGAAAUCUUAUGUUUUUAGUCAUAUAAAUAUGUAACUUUUCCAUUUGAUCUUUGUUGUUAUGUUUAAAUCCUUACAAGAUUGAUUCAUAUUGAAAUCGAUCUUUUGUAACAUCUAGAAUAUUUGAUUUUAGUCUCUUUAAAUAAAGACUAAAAUGGAUAUUAUAAGAAGUAAUUUCAACGCGAACAAAUUUUGUUGAGACAAACGCUAAUGACAUAAACAAAAGAUUGCAAACUCGCAAGGACUAAAAAAAUGAUUUGUAGGCAUUGAUUAAAAACUUAUUUAAACCUAAAAUUUAUUCGAUUUUUAUCAAGUGUAAAUAGCCUUUAAAAUGAGUAUAAUAUGCAUUUGUUUCGUCAAUUCUUUAUGGAUAGUGUCUUUAUUCACCUCUGUUAUUGUUCGUGUAUGUAAACAUGAAUUACAAUAGAUGAGCUAUUCAGUGGAGCUUCCUAUGAGGAGCUCUAAGAAUACUCUAAAAUGACUAAGGUGAAAACACAAUGGUUAAGCUAGAAUGAAUCCAUUUACUUCUCUCUAGGUGUCUCCUUUUGUAGGCCCCACUUUCUUGACCUAAUGGGCCUCUUUGUUCUGGCCCAUUAACCCUCUAAGGUCCAUAUGACUCAUUUAUACCAGGCGCGUGGAGCUGAUCAUGUUUCAUGCUCAUUCGUACAAGGUGCUUGGAGUCAAGGGUAGACAACUCAUGUCACUUGUCCGUGCAAGAUGGGUGGCACGUUAUGAGAUACCUUCAAGAGGAGGACCACAAUGUUGCUUGGACAACAACCUGAGAGAGAGCUAGUGAUGUUGAAAGUGGAGCUAAUGUGACCUGAAUGAUCAAGCUGAGCAGGUGGAGCUCAAGUGACCUGAACGAUCAAGCUGAGCUGAGCAGGUGGAGCUCACGUGACCUGAAUGAUCAAAUCGAGCUAAGCAUAUGGAGCUCAUGUGACCUGAACGAUCAAACCGAGCUUAGCAUAUGGUAUAGUCAAUGUAUAGGAGAGUCCACGUGGUAUGGUUUUCCAUACCAAUCCAAUUAUGAAUUGGUUCUUUUGCACCAAGAUUCAUUCAAAAUACUUACAAAAAUCAUAUCUUUAUUUUGGAUUGCGAUUCUCUCCCUUGAGAUUUUCACUGGAGGGAGUCCGGUGAAAAUCUGCACGGUUUAAAUUCUUCUCAAUUAACUUUGAUCGCAUGUGGAAAAUCAAUGAAUCUAAGAUCUCAUUGUAGAAAAAUAUCACUAGCGAGGAUUUAUUCCCCUUUUUUUUUUCUCACUUUUGACAAACUUCACGAUACACCAAAUGUUGAAAGAAACUUCAGGAACCAAUAUCUUCAAAAGCCACUAUUUGUUCGAUAUUCAAUUCAAGGGAUAGAAAUCAACAAGUGUAGCAAAACAUGAAGGUUCAUUUGUGUUAUAAAAAAAUGUGCUGAGAAUAUUUCACUUGCAUUUAUAGUGAAAUCACUUGCAUUUACGAGCACAUAUAUGGUAAUCUCUUUAAACACAUACUCCCUCCGUUUUUUAAUAUAAGCAAAUUUUGAUUUUUAGGUUCAUUCAAUCAAUGAUGUAUGUGGUCUAUAAUAAACCACAUACAUCAUUGAUUGAAUGAACCUAAAAAUCAAAUUUUGUUUAUCUUAAAAAAUAGAGGGAGUACUUAUAAACCGGAGACAAGAACAUUAAAAAUCUUGGUAAUAACACUAAUUUAUAAUCACCAGUGAAAUGAAUGAACAACGCAUGCAGUGCAACAAGCAGGGGCGGUUUUAAGGCCCGGCGACCCCGGGCACUCGCCCGGGCUCCAGGCCAAAUUUUUUGCAAUUUCUUUUGUAAAUUCCUAUGAAUUUCUUAUAUAAACCCCUAUAAAUUGGGCAAUUUUUUUAUAUUUUUUAUUAUUUGCUUGCAAUUUCUUAUGUACGCCCUAUAAAUGUGUUGCAAAAUUUUUUUUUGCCCGAGCUUUACAAUAUUCCUAGCUCCGCCACUGACAACAAGAUUCACAUAAUAAGACCGUGGAAUAUAACAACAAUGAGGAACUAAUAGAAAAAAACAUGAUAUGCUGAUGGAAUAUUCUUGAUAGAGUUGUGCCUUUAUUUUUCUCAUUUUUCAUGUAGAAAUAGUGACAAGUGGCUUGGGGUCAAAUGUACUAUUCAUUGUUCUAUGUACGGCAUAUUUAGGGUUAUUGAUUAGGUAAUGGUGGUGUUUGAUAAAGUUUUAUGUAAUUAGACGUCUACUCGUGCUGCCGCAUGGGUCAGAUAAAGUUAAAAAUGUAACUUGAAUCAAUAUAAAAUUGUCAAUGUGGUGAUUGUUUGCUUUUGUUAAAAUGCAGUUGAAUUAGUGUGGUUAAUUUGAUGGAUUAUUGAGAACCUUUUGCCUUUUGUUAGGCACCAAUUCGCCAGCAUCUCUUUCAGACAUGAUUGCAGAGUCAUAUGUUGCAGAGGUCAUUCCAUGGGAAGUAAUAGAGCGAAAAAAUGGUAAAUAUGUACUACCUUCGUUCCUUUUUAAUUGUCACAUUUUGACAUUUUACACAAACCAAGACAAUCAAUAAUUGAUACUACUUUUGAUGCAAUAAGCUAUAAUUUUACUAUAAUGACCUUAUUCAUUUAAUAUCUCAUUUCAUAUAUUUCUCUCUCCGCAAUAAAUAACUAAGGAUAAUAUUGGUAAAACAAUAUUUAAUGUUGCAUUAAACUUUGAAAGUGACAGUUAAAUAGGAACAAAAAUUUUCUUCAAAAGUAACACUUAAAAAGGAACGGAGGGAGUUAUAAACCAGAAGUUUUACUACAUAAUUCAAUUGGAAAGAUUAUAACAGAUUGGUCCCAAUGUAUUGAGAAACGCAUAAGACUACAUGAAAAAGCAAUAGUCUGGUUGAUAUUGCUUGUAAUUGAUAACCGCAACAAUAAAUGACAGGUUGACAGUGGGAAACUCAAUAGACGCUUGUAUACAACAAUUAUAUGCAAAAAAUAAUGUUAUCUUCUAUGGUAAAAACUCAAGAGUCUAGUUCAUAAUGCUUGCACAUGACAUCAUAGGCCAACUUAAUUAUCUAAUAAAAAAUUGAAAUAAACAUUACAUUGCUGACCAUAGUUAAAAUAUUAUUUUAUCUUGUUUGGUAAUGUGUUUUUAUUAAAAAAUAUCUACAUUACUUUGCUGCGAUAGGUAACUUAUUUUUUUUUUUUGGCUUUCGCAUUGGUUUCCAACUAUCAGAGGUGAGCGACUAAUCCGACUCAUGCGUAUAGGCAUGCGCACUGGCCAAGUGUUGUUCUCCCUAGGAAUCGAAUCCGGUAUUCCUUGGGUACAUCCUUAAAAGGAGCUCCUUGCAACUGGAGCCCAAACAACUUGGUUAUAGGUAACUAAAUUUUGUGAACCGCCUAAUUAGCAUAAAAGCAUGCAUGUACAUUAAUUUUUUGACUAUCCAAUUAGUUGUUUAUUAAUUGAAGGAUUAUUUUCAUAUAUUUUGGUAACAAAAAAAAAAAUUAAACAUGGUCAUCAAUUUAUGCACCACGCGUAAUUGGUUGUAUUUUGACUUAAAUAAUAAUUUCAGAUUUUGACUUAAACAAAGUCUAAAGCAACCAUAUCAAUUGCUUUUCUUUGCUACUUAUUUGCACGGGUAGACUCAAAGAAAAUUUAAAGAUUUUUAAUUUUAUUGGCUAAGAUUGCUCAACUAAUUUAAAACAAAAAUACAUACUACAUAGGAAACAUUUUCAUUCUCUCGUAAGAUGUAUAAUUUGACGAUUUUUAAGCUACUACUCAAUUACGAUUCCAUGUACAACAUUAUUUGAAAAUUAUAGAGCAUAGGUAAAUUGCAUAUUAUUAUUAAUUGGAUUACAGCAAAAGUAAGACAUGUCAUUCAUGUCGUUUAGACUUUGAUAUCCAAAUGGAUUCUCUUAAUACUUCAUAUAUGUUCCCCUUGGACUUAACAAUAUAUAGACAAAGGUUUCAUUUAUAGAAGCAAGGCAUACAUAGCAGAAUCUCAUAUAGCAAAGUGCUAAAGAAACGUAAACACUGAAUAACCUGAUUUGAUUUAAGUACAUAAACAUAUGAGUUGUUGCAUUGGCAUCACUCACAAAAAUUAAAGUUCAAGGCGACAAUUACCUUCAAACAUAAUCAGAAGCUAAAUGGAAAUAACAAUGAAACAGACAUAAUUGAAACCAAAUUCAUAAAACAUAAAGAUAAAAGGCCAUAUAUGGCACCAAUACUUGAUUCGAACAACAUGAGUCUUAAAAAAGGGAAAUGAGCACAAAAAAACUAAAUAAAUUAAAUUGAUCCAGAAUGAAGACAAAAUCUGGAUUCAAUUAAACAGUACUUAAUCAGUUAAACUGUCAUGUUCCUCAUCAAGCCGCUUUCUCAAUCUUAACACUUUUGAGCUUACGUGGUUUGUUGAUUGACCUUUCUCCAAGAAUAUCAAUUCCCACCUCAGCAGAUACAUCUGCAUCAGUAGAUCUUUUUUCUCCAGNNNNNNNNNNNNNNNNNNNNNNNNNNNNNNNNNNNNNNNNNNNNNNNNNNNNNNNNNNNNNNNNNNNNNNNNNNNNNNNNNNNNNNNNNNNNNNNNNNNNGAAUAGCUUAUCUUAAAAUGUAAUUCUAGAUAUUUUAUCAUUUUGUUAUAAUUUUUUUGGAUACUAAAAUUUUGAAAAAAUCUUUAAAAAAAAGCUAUUUCAAAUAGCUUUUAUUAAAAUCAUUUUUGAAAUAUGCGAUUUUUACUAUGUAAAAUUUCGAACAAUAAAUAUAUAGGUUAAUGAAUGUCAAAGUGUCUUUUUUAACUUAUAAUAAAUGAAUUUGAAUUUGUAAAAAAAAAAAAAAACAAAUGAAUUUGAAUAACUUAUACUAUUUUUGAAUAAAUUUCAAAAAAAUCUAUUUUGAAAAAUACAAAGAAAAAUCUAUUUUUUUAGAAUCUAUAACAAACAGGCCCUCAAUCACUACUUUUAAUCCCAAUUUUUUUAUUUAAAUUUUAUAUUUUUUAAUCAAAUUGUGCAUAAAUGUGUAAAAUAUUAAAAAAAAAAAAUUAGAAUUUAAAAAAAACACAAAUUAAAUAUGAAUUUUUAAACGUAAAAAAUAUAAAAAAUUGAUAUUAAAUUCAUGUUUGUUAAAAAAUUCUAAUUAUUGUUUGAAAGAUUCUUAUAAUAUUAUGAAUUUUUUUAAAAAAAUUUAUUCAAAAAUAUGAUUCUACGUAUGAUUUUACUUUAAAGAAGGGACCAAAAGUAAAGAUAAUUUUUUUUUUUUUGAGAGACUAUAAGUUGAAGAAUUUUUUCAGAGAGACUAAAACGAAAAACUAACAUAUUUAUAGGGACAAAAAACAUAUUUAAAAUAGCUAAUACAAGCAUAAAACUUAACAUUAUUUGAGCAUUUACAUCAGCACUUAACAUCACUUCAGCACUCUUUGACAAAUUUAGACACACAAACUAUUAAAGAGAUGAAUGAUCAAUAUGAAACUUAAAAUAGCUAAUACAAGCAUAAAACUUAAAGAAUACAUGAUGUAUUUGGCCAAUAAAAUACAUAUAACUCCCAUUCUAAGGUUCUUUCAAAAAAAAAAAACUCCCAUACUAAGGUUUGAAUUAUUUUUUUUGAAUAAACUAAGGUUUGAAAUAUGAAACUUUCAAUUUUAGAGGCAAAGUUUUAUAUCAUAAACUUUUCAAUUUUGAAUCUCGCUGCAACAACUUGAAAUUUCUCAACCAAGUUAUUAUUCAUGGGAGAAACAUUCAAAUAAGUUUAAGAUGAUGAAAUGUCCAUGUUUAAGUGUUUCAUUUGAGUGGUGUAUAUUCUUCAAAAAUUUCAGUUUUGUUAAUUAGAGAAGAAUCGAAUAACCUAUUAAAUCAAAGAGGAAUGAUAUUUAUACAAUCAAUUCUAUACAACUUUUAUGAUAAUUAUUUUUUCUCUCUUCUUAUCGGAUAAAAACAAUAGAGAGAGAAAGAAGAAGAGAGCGAAUAAAAGCCUAUGUGAUCGUUUAAAACUUCAAAAUUAAGUAGAGUAUUUAGCACCCUUGUUGAUAAGUCUCGUAUAAUGGAAAAUACUUGGGUGCCAUAGUUUUUUGGUGCCAUUGAUGACAUAGGUUCAUUUUAGAUAAAAGAUAAUGAUUAAAAUAAAUUAUUUAGAUGAGAGAGAAUGAAUUGUUAAGAGAGAGAUAGACACAAAGUUACCUAUGAAACUAAUAAAACCAAAAAACUACCCAAGUGCUACCCUAUAAUAAUAGCGGUUGUUGAGGGGACAACAUUUGUCAUAUAAAAUAAAAGUAAUGGCAGACGAGCUAACUACGACAAAGGAAGAAUCAAAGAAAGAAGUAAAGAACGUAAGUGGAAAUUUACAAUGAACUUCACAAUAAAAUACAACAAUACUUCUAUAUAAAGAUGUGCAGGAUUUGCUUCUUCUCUUUCAACCACAUACAUAGUCAAAGAUAACCUGGUAACAGAGAAGCACAAAGACUUUGGAACCAUCGUGUUUAUCAUUUCAGAGGUAAAUAAAUAAACUUAGUUCUACCCUUCAAAAAAAAAAAAAAACUAAGUUCUAGAUCCUCGUUGUAACAACCUAGAUUUUCUCGACCUAGUUAGUUAGUUAACUACUCAUGGGAGAAACCACAGAACUGGAUGUUAUUUCAUCACCACAAUUUCAACAAAGAUUCAAACAUGACCAAAAGAAUCUUUGUUGCAUCAAGUGGUUUUCUUUGGUUAAGCGCUGUAUAUUUGUAGUUUUCUAUAAGAAGAAGAAUAAGGAUGAUUUUGAUUCAUGUGUUGGAGAUGAUGACGACAAGCAAAAAAUGGGAAAAGAUGUUGAAGGUAAGCUGAGAGAACUUCUUAAGAUUCUAGAUAAAGAAAAUUUUGGGAAGAAAAUUAGUGGAUCUAUUCUUAAGGGUCCUUUUGAUGUUCCUGCAAAUCCUGAAUUUACUGUUGGUUUGGAUUUGCAAUUGAUUAAGUUGAAGGUGGAAAUUCUCAGAGAAGGUAGAUCUACUCUUUUGUUGACUGGUCUGGGUGGAAUGGGAAAAACAACUCUGGCUACAAAGCUGUGUUUGGAUGAUCAAGUUAAGGGUAAGUACUAAUUCCUAUUUCAUUUUCUCAUACAUGAUUAUAAACAUGUGCUGAUUUGUUCUUGUUAUUUAAAAAUUUGUCAUGUUAUGCUUAUUUUGCUUAUCAAUACUUUCUAAAAAGAUCAUUUUUUCUAAAAAAUCAUUAAAUUCUGCAACUUAAUUAAGCAUUUAUAGUAUAAGUUAUUUCUUCUUUCAAAAAAAAAAAAAACGUAUAAGCUAUUCUAAAAUAAAAUAAAAUUCAGAGUAAAGACCUAAUUUGGUCCUUGAUAAUUUUCUCACGAAUAAAUUUUGUACCUGAAAAAAAGUAAUACCCAAACUAGUUCCUCAUAUUCUCAUACUUGGGACAAAUUAGUCAUUCUGUUAUAAUGAGUUAGACACUAGUUUUUCUUUCGUAUAAAUAUGUCAGAAAGUAAUGUUGGUAUUAUUGAUUGUGAGGAUCCAAAUUGGGUAAUUACUGAAAAAUUAAAAUAAAGUCAAACUGCUUAUGUAAAUAAACUAAAAAAAGCUUAUGACAUGUGUAUAAGCUGUUUUCAUAAGCUCUCUCAAAUUGUCUCACAAGUGCUUAUUUAUGCCAAUAAGUAAGCUCAAAUAAGCCAAUACAUCAGAAAUUUUUGUUGUUGUGGUAUAUGCAUAUAGUGAAAUUAAUACCUAUACUCACAUAUAUGCAUUUGUAGGAGAUAUCUGUUGUAAAAUAUUGGCAUAAAAUUGUCUUAAUAAUAAUCGACAUAUAAAAAUGAGCAACAAUUAAAUGUUAUAUCAAGUAAACUUAUCUGUGCUUAAAACCGUUGUAUCAUUUGGCCAUUGACACAAUUCUAUCAACAUCCUCCACUAACAGUUCAUAUGAAACUUACACAAUAGUCAACCGGUAUAUAACCUGAGGCUUGACGAAGUCACUGUCCUUAAGGAUUUAUCCGUCUCAUAAGUGCAAAUCCCUCCGGAUUCAGCAGGCUCUUCUUGAUUUAAAACCAAUGAUGCAGAACUGGCAAGAAGAAACAUUUACAGGAAGAUGAAGCCCCCAGAUAUGUGUAUCAGACUCAUGAAAAAUCUAUUAAUGUAGCGUAAAAAGCAAAGAGGGAAUUUUGUUUAGACUGUGCAGGAAAAUGAUGUUACAGAUGCUCAUAAACUUAAGGACAAAACUUUAAGAAAAUCAUGGUAAAUUUAGUUAAGAACCAUGUGACAAACACCUAAGGAAUUGUACUAAGUUUUUUCCUAAACUAAAAGGUAGGCAUUAACUUCUCAAAUAUAAUAGUAGCAAUUUAUACUCAAAAGUAUAACUGCCUUCUUAAUUAUUUUCGGUUGCAAAAUAAGACAUGUAACUAAAUUACCUUCAAAUGAUAGUGUAAAGGCUUAGAUUUCCCUCAAAAAAAAGAAAAAAGUGUAAAGGCUUAGAUUUAACCAAGUAAAAUAAUGUGGUCAAAAAAAUUAGACCAAGCCAAAUAUUAAUAUUAAUCAUAAAUAAAAUAAUAAUAAUUUUCUAUUAAUAUUAUUAAACUUUUGAAAUAUACAAAAAUUACAACAAUAUCAACUACUUUGGGCUUAUUGUUCUCUUUUGAUUCUUUAGGUAAAUUCAAGGAAAACAUUAUAUUUGUAACCUUCUCAAAAACACCCAUGCUGAAGAUUAUUGUAGAGAGAUUAUUUGAACAUUGCGGAUAUCCGGUGCCUGAGUACCAAAGUGAUGAAGAUGCGGUAAAUGGAUUGGGACUUUUGCUGAGGAAAAUUGAGGGAAGUCCAAUAUUGUUAGUCCUGGAUGACGUUUGGCCCGGAUCAGAAGACCUAGUCGAGAAAUUUAAAUUUCAGAUAUCAGAUUAUAAAAUUUUGGUCACUUCAAGGGUUGCAUUUUCUAGAUUUGACAAAACAUUUAUCCUAAAGCCUCUUGCUCAAGAAGAUUCGGUAACCCUUUUCCGUCACUACACAGAGGUUG
This 29034-nucleotide long non-coding RNA is filed under the name Medicago truncatula (barrel medic). RNAcentral's name for it is "long non-coding RNA (MTRU_LNC006499)". The record is from RNAcentral. Lineage: Eukaryota; Viridiplantae; Streptophyta; Magnoliopsida; Fabales; Fabaceae.